Molecule: long non-coding RNA, 1148 nt
Organism: Calidris pugnax (ruff)
Lineage: Eukaryota; Metazoa; Chordata; Aves; Charadriiformes; Scolopacidae
Exons: 2
Source: RefSeq, a predicted model, not a curated record
AGCACAAGGUUAUCCCCAGUGUCCCAGAGCCCAGGACUUUGACAGUCAGCCCUAGUCUGCCAGGAGAUCCACCUGCUCUUUUUGAGCCCAAAUCUGGCAAUCAGCUCGACACUGCCUGUGUCAUCAGGACGUGACAGGCAGACUCUGGUGCUGCCAAGGCUGGGGCUGGGGCUUCACUUUGCUUUGUGCAUCUCUGCAUGUGAGACACGUCAGCUGAAGUCUGGUGGGCUCUUAAGAUGAGCAGAGUCUCUCAUCUGACUGCCCACCAUCUCAGGCCCUCGACUUUCCAGGGCUGGGUUCAGCUGUGUCCCUUUCUCUCCCUCCUCCCCACACCCCUCAAUCCCUGCCCCACUUCCCGUGCAUGAAUCCCUGCCUCAGAGCUGGGGUUAAAGUCCAUCACCCCACCCUGGCAGAGCAUCUCACGCAUCUCACAUGCUCUGAAGCACUCUCCUUCCACCCCCCCCAGGAGACCCUACCAAACCGUCUGGAUUUAGGAGCGUCAAAGCCCCCACCACAAAGGUGGCCUCAUCCAUCGGGAAUGCCCAGAAGCUGCCCAUGUGUGAGAAGUGUGGAUCUGGCAUUGUAGGGGUGUUUGUGAAGCUCCGGGACAAGCAGCGUCACCCCGAGUGCUACGUGUGCAGCGACUGCGGCACCAACCUCAAGCAGAAAGGACACUUCUUCGUGGAAGACCAGAUCUACUGCGAGAAGCACGCGCGGGAGCGGGUCGUCCCCCCGGAGGGCUACGAGGUGGUCACCGUCUUCCCCAAGUAACGCGCGCUGCUCACACAAGGCCGGCGGGGAUGGCUUCUCCGCUGCUGCUUUUCCUUGGAAAGCAUCAUCCCUGCUCCCCAAAAUACCAUUUGCAAUAAGGAAUGCUAGGCAUGGCUUUGGGUUUCCUCGCCGUUAUUAAUCCUCCGUCUGUUCACAUGAGAUGUCACUAAUUGUUCAACAUUCUUUUUGUCUCCUCUUUCACUGUUUGGGUUUGGUUUUGUUUUUUUUUUUUUCAUACACAGAAUUAUAUUUUUUUUCCCUCCUUCGCGCCCAAUCGCACAGUAAAAUCAAGAGGCCAAAGCCAGAGAUUACAAUUCUGUCUCCCGGUUAUUUUGCCUUCUGUUUGCAUCCAAUAAACGGGGUGAAUCCACGAGGGA